UAUUGCUAUGAUGAUAUGUGUAUCCCAGCUCAUUAUGAGACCUUUUGUAGGUCUGAGAGUAGAAUUUUCCUACACAUAAUUCUGAGGCCUCUAAUA
Cannabis sativa is the source of this 96-nucleotide small nucleolar RNA. The record is from RefSeq and is a predicted model, not a curated record. NCBI's taxonomy places the organism in Eukaryota, Viridiplantae, Streptophyta, Magnoliopsida, Rosales, Cannabaceae.